AUGGCCUCCCCCUGUCCCUGACUCAACUGGAGCUCAGUUCACUCUGCUUUGAAGGAGUAGGAGGAGAACACUACUCACAAAAAGGAGGGCAAGAACCGGCUUGUUCACCAUUGUAUUCCUGCACCACAGCAUAAGCACUCAAUCAUUAUGGGUUAAAGGCUGAAAUUCAAAAAGAGAAAGGGAGAUGUUAGACACCUACUGACCAAGGAGGUGCCCUCCAUUCUGCUUAACCACCGCCCAGGCCAGUCAUUUCUCUCCCUGGAAGACUUUGAGUCAUGCACGCGCAAGGAAAAUGACAAGAGUAGCAAAGAGGAUUAUGAGCAGUGCAAUACAAAACAAGGCUGCAACAAAAGAUGAAGAAAUACUUCAGUGCAUGCCGUGUGCAGCCUAGAAGUUACAUAUGCAAUUGUAGAUGAAGCUAACUGACCAGGCGACACCAGGAGGAGCACGAGGACCAAGAGAACUAAGUGGGCAAGAUGCCCAGGCAGUGGACAGAAAACAGAGAACAACAACAUCCAAAGAGCCACCUGGAGAACAGAUGGGGACCGGGGACCAGAAUGCUCUUCCUAAAUCAAAUAGAAAACAGGAAGGCUGUCCAAAGAUUUGGGGGGCCAGGAGAGUGAGCAAUACAGAAGGGAUUGUGACCACCAAGCUCCCUUUCUAGAGAAUGUGUCCAAAGCAGGUCCAGGCAGACUGGGGGUGGGAGAGGAGAAUUCACAUUAAAUAUUUAUAAUGUGCACAAUGAGUUCUAGUGGGAAAUCUCAGAAGAUGCCACCAUUUCCAACUUUAAAAUACCCUUCUUCUUCAAUGUCUGUGUGUGUUUUUAGGAAUCCAAAUACAAUAAAAUAUUCAUCAUGGAGAGUUUUUGAUGGUAAAAGAGUAUCCCAGGGAAUAUCUUCUGAUGUUGUAUCGUCACCCUUUGUGGAAUUUUCUCCCUCUCACUUCAUUCUUUAUUGGGUUGGAAUUGGGAUAAAAGAGUAGAGUGGGUCAUAAGGUCCUGUUCCAAGUAAUUAGAGAGUUUUUUCUUUUAUCUAAAUGUGCCUUGUUAAAGUAUAUCAGUGUCAGCCAGGUUAAUUGGAACUUUAAUACAUAAUUGAUGCUAAUUUAUGGCUCUUUUUG
Molecule: long non-coding RNA, 1119 nt
Filed under: Homo sapiens (human)
Lineage: Eukaryota; Metazoa; Chordata; Mammalia; Primates; Hominidae
Description: HSALNT0316719
Source: RNAcentral